GGCCUUUUCGUUCAACGGUUAGGACCCGGGCCUUUGACACCCGUGAUGUGAGUUCGAGUCUCACGAGGGCUGCCA
Molecule: transfer RNA, 75 nt
Filed under: Clostridiales bacterium
Lineage: Bacteria; Bacillati; Bacillota; Clostridia; Eubacteriales
Description: tRNA-Gln
Rfam family: tRNA
About the family: Transfer RNA (tRNA) molecules are approximately 80 nucleotides in length. Their secondary structure includes four short double-helical elements and three loops (D, anti-codon, and T loops).
Source: RNAcentral